RNAcentral lists this ribosomal RNA (392 nucleotides) under uncultured bacterium. Its description in RNAcentral is "bacterial SSU rRNA". It matches the Rfam family "Bacterial small subunit ribosomal RNA", at positions 28 to 426 of the family's 1533-position model. The record is from RNAcentral.
GAUGAACGCUGGCGGAAUGCUUUACACAUGCAAGUCGAGCGGCAGCGCGGGGCAACCUGGCGGCGAGCGGCGAACGGGUGAGUAAUGCAUCGGAACGUACCCAGUCGUGGGGGAUAACUGUCCGAAAGGACAGCUAAUACCGCAUACGUCCUGAGGGAGAAAGCGGGGGAUCGCAAGACCUCGCGCGAUUGGAGCGGCCGAUGCCGGAUUAGCUAGUUGGUAGGGUAAAGGCCUACCAAGGCGACGAUCCGUAGCUGGUCUGAGAGGACGACCAGCCACACUGGAACUGAGACACGGUCCAGACUCCUACGGGAGGCAGCAGUGGGGAAUUUUGGACAAUGGGGGCAACCCUGAUCCAGCCAUUCCGCGUGAGUGAAGAAGGCCUCGGUUGU